This 506-nucleotide ribosomal RNA is filed under the name uncultured bacterium. RNAcentral's name for it is "bacterial SSU rRNA". It matches the Rfam family "Bacterial small subunit ribosomal RNA", at positions 1003 to 1509 of the family's 1533-position model. The record is from RNAcentral.
GAAAGGGAGCUUCCGCAAGGACACUCGUAGAGGUGCUGCAUGGCUGUCGUCAGCUCGUGUCGUGAGAUGUUGGGUUAAGUCCCGCAACGAGCGCAACCCUUGUCUUCUGUUGCCAUCAGGUUAUGCUGGGCACUCUGAAGAGACUGCCGGUGAUAAACCGGAGGAAGGUGGGGAUGACGUCAAGUCAGCAUGGCCUUUAUGUCUGGGGCCACACACGUGCUACAAUGGCAGAUACAAACCGUCGCGAGACCGCAAGGUGGAGCUAAUCGGAUAAAGUCUGUCUCAGUUCGGAUUGCAGGCUGCAACUCGCCUGCAUGAAGUUGGAAUCGCUAGUAAUCGCGGAUCAGCACGCCGCGGUGAAUACGUUCCCGGGCCUUGUACACACCGCCCGUCACAUCACGAAAGCCGGUUGUACUAGAAGUCGCCACACUAACCUGCAAGGGAGGGAGGCGCCUAAGGUAUGGUCGGUGAUUGGGGUGAAGUCGUAACAAGGUAGGCGUAGUGCU